This 411-nucleotide ribosomal RNA is filed under the name uncultured prokaryote. RNAcentral describes it as "bacterial SSU rRNA". It matches the Rfam family "Bacterial small subunit ribosomal RNA", at positions 505 to 918 of the family's 1533-position model. The record is from RNAcentral.
GUGUCAGCAGCCGCGGUAAUACGUAAGGGGCGAGCGUUGUUCGGAAUUAUUGGGUGUAAAGGGCGCGUAGGCGGCUUGGCAAGUCUGGUGUGUAAGGCUACAGCUUAACUGUAGUUAGGCGCUGGAAACUGCGGAGCUAGAGUGCAGAAGAGGGAGCUGGAAUUCCAGGUGUAGGGGUGAAAUCUGUAGAGAUCUGGAAGAACACCGGUGGCGAAGGCGAGCUCCUGGACUGUGACUGACGCUGAGGCGCGAAAGCGUGGGGAGCGAACAGGAUUAGAUACCCUGGUAGUCCACGCAGUAAACGAUGUACACUAGGUGUUGGUCCAGAAGGAUCGGUGCCGUAGCGAACGCGUUAAGUGUACCACCUGGGGAGUACGCCGGCAACGGUGAAACUUAAAUGAAUUGGCGGGG